UGAGGGUAGUGAGGCACUGGAACAGGUUGUCCAGAGAAGCUGUGGAUGCCCCAUCCCUGUAAGACUUCAAGGCGAGGUUGAAUGAGUCUUCGAGCAAUUUGGUCUAGUAAAAGGUGCCUCUGCCCAUGGCAGGGGGGUUAGAACUAGAUGAUCUUCAAGGACCCUUCCAAACGAAAGCAUUGUAUGAUUCUAUGAUGUGAUUAAGCAAAUCUAUCAUAUGCAAGUAGUGGCUUCAAAAAGUAAAUUAAUUACUAUGUCUGUCAGAAGACUUUAUUUUUCUUUACUCAUAACUCACUAUAUUUUUAGAAAUACUUGAGAUGUGUCCAGGCAUCAGAAACUUGCAGCUAUUCACUGCAGCAGGUUGCAACCAAAUGAUCAUUUUAAAGCAGUUCUUUUCCUUAAUAUGCCUCUUUCUUUUUACUAGUUGUAGUUAGUAUUUGUCAAAUUAGGACAAAGGUUUGUCAUUAGUCUUUUUUCUUUAGACAAUGAUACACUUACUCUGUUGAUAAGGGAAAGGGAUUUGAAAAGUGCCUGACAAAGAGAAACGUCACAGAAAGUAAAACAUGUAGUAUAUGGUAAUAUUAUCCUACUGAUUUUAAUCUGAUAGAGGUGUUGGGCUAAUUAAGAAAGAAUUAAACUACACAUGACAGAUACUGGUCACAUUGUUUAAUAUACUGCUGGAGAAUACACAGAACCAUAGGGGCGAUGAAAACAUUACAAGAGCAUACACAGAAAAUACAAUUGCUGCAUGCAAGUAUAGUGGGUUUUGCAAGUAAACAUAGGAUAUUCUUUUGACAAGUGUAAUUUUGUCAUUAAUACAGAUUCUAUAUAGAAAAAUAUUUGUUAAGUGAUUUUAAAUGGUUUGGGGGUGGGGGGGACAGUGAAGAGCAGGGAAUAACCCUUUGGCAGUUAUUUACAUGGGAAAUGUUUGUAUUAUUCUCUUAAUUUAAAAUAAUAGUUUUUCCUCUUCUGCAGUACCUUCAGGUGCCAUUUUAAAAUUAAAAUAAAUUAUAUUUCUCCAAGAUGGAAAAAUUUAUGUUUCUCUGAGAAGUUGGCCUCAUCAAUAAGUUCAUAGAAAACACUGUUUGGCACCUACAUGGAGAAGCAUCCAGAAAAUAUUAUCUGUGUGAAACAGAGGGUUUUCUCCUCAGUAAUUUUCUCUCUUUUUCUUGUAUUGGUUUCGUUUCCAUUAGAUGUCUUGGAGCUCUGAUUCAGAGCAAAAUAGAUUUACUGUUUCCUGAAAGAAGAUUUAUUAGCUUGGAGACGGUAUGGUAAGAUCAGUGAGAUAAUCUGUUUUAAGAGAAGAGGGUUAAGGUGGAUAUACAAGAGAAGGGUAUGAUAAUUUUCAGUUUCAUAUUCUAAAGAGUGCCAUGUUGAUUCCAGAGCAAAAGUGGAAAAAAAUCCACUCUGGGAAUUAGGGGCUGUGCAUCAGCAUGGAUGCUGCUGUGCAUACCAGCUAAUGCAGGCACAGGGCAGCUGAUGGGACAGACAGACCCUUGUGCCUUGCUCCUGCACUGACUUCUGCUUCCCCUUCAGUUUGAGACGAGGGUCAUUUAAAAUAAUACCGUCUACGACAUAAGACCUUUGGCAACUUGUUCCUUCUUCAAAGUAGUUUAGUAUUGAGGCAACUCUAUAGCUGGGGAGGAAUUUUCUGUCUUUCACGUAACUCCUUAAAAUCAGGUGUUCCAGGGCAUAUCUUAUGUACAUUUACUAGAGCGUUGUAUGCAAUUCAUUGUUGUGGUUUAGGAGAAGGCAGUAUGUGUAUUGUGCACAGCACAUGUAAGUGACUAUUGAAAUGAUACUGCAAGUCACAAAUAUACUCCCGAUUUCAUUACCCACACAUUUCCCACUUCUUCACACACAGAACUAUAAUAAGCAGGGCUGGUUUAGGAGACUCUUUGGGAUUUUAGCACAGCAAGUGGUCCCUAGUGGAGCUGGGAAGUGAAGGAAACUGUACCAGCUGGGAGCCAAAUAGCAGUAAUGCAGAACCUAUGGGGAGAUGAUGCAGCUCAUGAAGGGUUAUAAUACCAUAGGUUACUGUAAUUAUUAAAGAAACAGGAAACACAUAAUAAACUCCCCCCUUAUAAGCACUUCAUAUAAGAGAGAUGCAAAAUGGUAGAGUUGAAAGGGAGAUAAGACUGUUCACAAUCUGCACUCAAGCUGGAUGUGGGUUACUCCCUUUCAGGUGUGUGGUCUAAGCUUCAGGUGAUGGGAGUGGUUCUAUGUUUUUUGAAGUUUUAUUUUUUUUUCUUUUUUCAUCUUCCUCCCGGCAUAUCGCUCUGCUUUCCCAUGAGUGGUGUCACUAGCAAGAAAAUAACCAGAUGUCUCAGCCGGGCUGUUUCCAUUUUUCUACCACAGAAAGCAAGUUUACUCAUUCUGAAUCGUGCCAAACCGCAUAAUUUGGAAAGGAAUAUUGUGGCUCUACUUGGAAAGUACUAAUUGGGCUUCAGCCAUCACUGGGAAAGCUGUAUAGUCUUUUAUUAUUUUAACUGGCCAAAUGCCCUUUGUUACCACAUUAACAGUCUCCCUAUGGUGCCUGUAACUUUGAUAUUAUUUUCACUUUCAUGCUAAAUUUGACCAGAUGAAAGACAAAAACACUCCAAUUUUGAAAUAAAAAAAUAGCAUGUUUUGUUAAUCCUGUAUUUCAGAGGGAAAGUCUGUGAAAAUGAUAACCUUUGUGUGUUGGCCAAAGCUUUUUUCAGUAAACCCAUCCUGCCAGCUGUUCCCAUUGGCAAGAGGAAAGAUAAUAUUUUGGUAUCUUUUAUUUCUCCAUUUUAGAGCACAAGUUUUGCUUGUGCCAUUGUUUAAAUCAUGCAUGUUAACAUUGGUCUGGCAAACAAUAACGCACUUUAUAAAAAGACCUCAGUUUGAAUGGUAUCACUGCAAUGUUGCAAUAAAGCUGAUUUUGACUAUUA
Molecule: long non-coding RNA, 2915 nt
Organism: Corapipo altera (White-ruffed manakin)
Lineage: Eukaryota; Metazoa; Chordata; Aves; Passeriformes; Pipridae
Exons: 2
Source: RefSeq, a predicted model, not a curated record